UACGUAGGGGGCGAGCGUUAUUCGGAAUCACUGGGCGUAAAGCGUGCGUAGGCGGAUUUGCAAGUUGGAAGUGAAAGCCCAGGGCUCAACCCUGGAAUUGCUUUCAAAACUGCAAAUCUUGAAUCUCGGAGAGGAUAGCGGAAUUCUCAGUGUAGCAGUGAAAUGCGUAGAUAUUGAGAGGAACACCGGUGGCGUAAGCGGCUAUCUGGACGAGUAUUGACGCUGAGGCACGAAAGCGUGGGGAUCAAACAGG
RNAcentral lists this ribosomal RNA (253 nucleotides) under uncultured bacterium. RNAcentral's name for it is "partial 16S ribosomal RNA". It matches the Rfam family "Bacterial small subunit ribosomal RNA", at positions 524 to 776 of the family's 1533-position model. The record is from RNAcentral.